UGCAUGGAUGAUUGCCUGGAGUAGAA
This 26-nucleotide non-coding RNA is filed under the name Rattus norvegicus (Norway rat). Lineage: Eukaryota; Metazoa; Chordata; Mammalia; Rodentia; Muridae. The record is from RNAcentral.